This 253-nucleotide ribosomal RNA is filed under the name uncultured prokaryote. Its description in RNAcentral is "partial 16S ribosomal RNA". It matches the Rfam family "Bacterial small subunit ribosomal RNA", at positions 524 to 776 of the family's 1533-position model. The record is from RNAcentral.
UACAUGUGGGGCAAGCGUUGUUCGGAAUUACUGGGCAUAAAGGGUGCGUAGGCGGUUUGUUAAGUCACUGGUGAAAGUUUUCGGCCCAACCGGAAAAUUGCCUGUGAUACUGGCGAACUUGAGUGCGUGAGGGGUGGGGGGAACGAGCAGUGUAGCGGUGAAAUGCGUAGAUAUUGGGAAGAACACCAGUGGCGAAAGCGGACUUCUGGGUUGUUACUGACGCUGAGGUACGAAAGCGUGGGGAGCAAACAGG